CCACGGGUGGCUGCAGUGGGGAAUAUUGGACAAUGGGCGAAAGCCUGAUCCAGCCAUGCCGCGUGUGUGAAGAAGGCCUUCGGGUUGUAAAGCACUUUCAGUGGGGAAGAAAGCCUUGGGGCUAAUACCCUCGAGGAAGGACAUCACCCACAGAAGAAGCACCGGCUGAACUCCGUGCCAGCAGCCGCGGUAAUACGGAGGGUGCGAGCGUUAAUCGGAAUUACUGGGCGUAAAGCGCGCGUAGGCGGUCUGAUAAGCCGGUUGUGAAAGCCCCGGGCUCAACCUGGGAACGGCAUCCGGAACUGUCAGGCUAGAGUGCAGGAGAGGAAGGUAGAAUUCCCGGUGUAGCGGUGAAAUGCGUAGAGAUCGGGAGGAAUACCAGUGGCGAAGGCGGCCUUCUGGACUGACACUGACGCUGAGGUGCGAAAGCGUGGGUAGCAAACAGGAUUAGAUACCCCUGUAGUC
Molecule: ribosomal RNA, 465 nt
Filed under: Vreelandella stevensii
Lineage: Bacteria; Pseudomonadati; Pseudomonadota; Gammaproteobacteria; Oceanospirillales; Halomonadaceae
Description: partial 16S ribosomal RNA
Rfam family: Bacterial small subunit ribosomal RNA
Source: RNAcentral